This 30-nucleotide non-coding RNA is filed under the name Mus musculus (house mouse). Lineage: Eukaryota; Metazoa; Chordata; Mammalia; Rodentia; Muridae. The record is from RNAcentral.
UCAAAUCUAUUUUCUCCUGGCCUACAGAAU